GAUGAACGCUAGCGGCAGGCUUAAUACAUGCAAGUCAAGGGGGUAGCAAUACUACCGGCGCACGGGUGAGUAACACGUACAUAACAUACCAUAUACUGGGGGUAUAGCUUUGGGGAAACUGAAGGUAAUCCCCCAUAACAUUGCGAGAGGGCAUCUGAUUGCAAUUAAAGUUUCGACGGUAUAUGAUUGAUGUGCGUUUGAUUAGCUUGUUGGUAGGGUAACGGCCUACCAAGGCGACGAUCAAUAGCUGGCGUGAGAGCGCGACCAGCCACACUGGAACUGAGACACGGUCCAGACUCCUACGGGAGGCAGCAGUAGGGAAUAUUGGACAAUGGGCGAAAGCCUGAUCCAGCCAUGCCGCGUGAUAGAUGAA
This 373-nucleotide ribosomal RNA is filed under the name uncultured bacterium. RNAcentral describes it as "bacterial SSU rRNA". It matches the Rfam family "Bacterial small subunit ribosomal RNA", at positions 28 to 412 of the family's 1533-position model. The record is from RNAcentral.